RNAcentral lists this ribosomal RNA (267 nucleotides) under uncultured bacterium. RNAcentral describes it as "partial 16S ribosomal RNA". It matches the Rfam family "Bacterial small subunit ribosomal RNA", at positions 569 to 834 of the family's 1533-position model. The record is from RNAcentral.
ACGUAGGUGGGUUUGUAAGUCAGAUGUGAAAGCCUUCUGUUCAAAGGAAGAACGGCAUCUGAAACUGCAGAUCUUGAGUGUAGGAGGGGAGAGUGGAACUUCUGGUGGAGCGGUGAAAUGCGUAGAUAUCAGAAGGAACGUCGGCGGCGAAAGCGACUCUCUGGCCUAUUACUGACACUGAGUGUGCGAAAGUUAGGGGAGCAAACGGGAUUAGAUACCCCGGUAGUCCUAACUGUAAACGAUGGGCACUAAGUAGAGGGGUUUUAA